GUACUAGUCAUAUCAUUUCUAACAUGCAAAAUGCAAAAAGUGUCACAACUUACCCCGCCUUCCCCUAUAUAUCACAAAUUAAUAUCUAAUCCGUUUCUCAUUAAGUUUUUAUGCUAUGACAUUCUCACAGCAAACUGAGUUUCAGAAUUCACAGUAACUGCCAUCCUGUAUAAACAUCAGUUACAGGAGUGGGAACAAAAUCAGACGAAUUGUGUUCGCUAAACUUGAUCAAUAAAUACAACUUUGAUAAGUGAUUGCGAUUUCAUCAUGGACAAUGAUUCAAGCUAAAUGACCUCCAAAAGGCUAGCAAACUGCUGGCCGUAAAAGCAAUUGUUAUUUCAUAAUGUGUUCUGCCUUUUGUGCCUUUGAAUUUUCAGUUAUGCAAAUCUUACAAUGAUACAUAAGUUUACCUGUUCAGUUAUGCAAAUCUUACAAUGAUACAUAAGUUUACCCAGUUCAUUUAUGCAAAUCUAUUUAUGAUACAUAAGUUCACCCUAUUCAGUUACGCAAAUCUAUUUAUGACACAUAAGUUUGCCCUGCUCAGUUAUGUACAUCUUACAAUGAUACAUAAGUUCACCCGGUUCAGUUAUGCAAAUCUUACAAUGAUACAUAAGUUCACCCAGUUCAUUUAUGCAAACCUAUUGAUGAUACAUAAGUUCACCAUGUUCAGUUAUGCAAAUCUUACAAUUAUACAUUAGUUUACAAUGUUCAGUUAUGCAAAAGUAUUUAUGAUACAUAAGUUCACCCGGUUCAGUUAUGCAAAUAUUUCAAUGAUACAUAAGUUCUCCCUAUUCAGUUAUGCAAAUCUUACAAUGAUACAUAAGUUCACCCGGUUCAGUUAUGCAAAUCUUACAAUGAUACAUAAGUUCACCCAGUUCAUUUAUGCAAACCUAUUGAUGAUACAUAAGUUCACCAUGUUCAGUUAUGCAAAUCUUACAAUUAUACAUUAGUUUACAAUGUUCAGUUAUGCAAAAGUAUUUAUGAUACAUAAGUUCACCCUGUUCAGUUAUGCUAAUCUAUACAAUGAAAACAUAAAUUCUCCCUAUUCAGUUAUGCAAAUCUUACAAUGAUACAUAAGUUCACCCGGUUCAGUAAUGCAAAUAUUACAAUGAUACAUAAGUUCUCCCUAUUCAGUUAUGGAAAUCUUACAAUGAUACAUAAGUUCACCCUGUUCAGUUAUGCAAAUCUUACAAUGAUACAUAAGUUCUCCCUAUUCAGUUAUGCAAAUCUUACAAUGAUA
Molecule: long non-coding RNA, 1240 nt
Organism: Lytechinus variegatus (green sea urchin)
Lineage: Eukaryota; Metazoa; Echinodermata; Echinoidea; Temnopleuroida; Toxopneustidae
Exons: 2
Source: RefSeq, a predicted model, not a curated record